RNAcentral lists this transfer-messenger RNA (373 nucleotides) under Helicobacter pullorum. It matches the Rfam family "transfer-messenger RNA". From Rfam's summary of the family: Bacterial tmRNA, also known as 10Sa RNA or SsrA, is named for its dual tRNA and mRNA-like properties. Its role is to liberate the mRNA from a stalled ribosome. RNAcentral also lists the same sequence under 1 other name. The record is from RNAcentral. Lineage: Bacteria; Pseudomonadati; Campylobacterota; Epsilonproteobacteria; Campylobacterales; Helicobacteraceae.
GGGGCUGAUAUGAAUUUCGACGGGAGUUGGAUGGCUCUAGUUGCAUGCCAACUUGUGCUAAGUUGUAAAACUGGCUCUUAAAUAUAAACGCAAAUAAUACAAAUUACGCUCCAGCUUACGCUAAAGUUGCGUAAGUUUAAUUUAGCUUUUUGGAGCUGUUUUUAGUUAGGAUUCUAGCUACUUUCUAAAAACAUCAUUUUUGCUAGAUGCUAUCUUAUUUACCAAAAAUAAGAUUUAAGUUCCUUUGGUUGCCUUGUUUGUGAAUUUUUGGGUGUUUAGCAAACAAGAAAGAUUCCAAACCCAAGAAAGCAUGUAUAUCAAUUAUUGUUGGUCUGAUUUUCGGACUGGGGUUUGAUCCCCCACAGCUCCACCA